CAGGGAAAGGGAGAGAGUCUGUGCGGGUGGGAGGUGGCUGGCCCCUGGGGGGUCCCCAGGCCUGCUUCUUCCCAGCACAGCGGGGCUGCAGGCUGUUCCCCUUCCGUCCCCCCCCCCGGGACCCCUCGCUUACAGGUGCUUUCCUCUUCUUUGCACGCAGUUUUCACUUGCUCGCUCCGUCGAAGUUCUGACUGUAGCACAUAGCCGAGAGCCGGGGGCGCUCCCCUGCCCCCCCAGUGCCGCUUCCAUCAGAGGCAGCAAGCAUCACACAGUGGUCCAGGGCCAGCCUUUUCCACUCAAUUAUAGGUGUCUGGGGGCUGGUUAUGUAGCCCUCGGCCUUAGCGUCCUCUCCUGGAGGAGUUGUCCAUCACCUACCCUAAGGCAGAGAAGACUAAUUGAGAUAGAGUGUCAAAGCUCUUACUCCGGAGCUUGGCACAAAAUCCAUGUCCAGUGAUCCCUGACUAGCUGCCCGCUCGUAUUCGGGGAACUGGGGAUUGCAGAGGGAACUUUUGAAAAGACUAUCAAACCCGCUUCCCUGUCUGCUUCCCUGGGGGAUGGGGCAGUGCGAUGCAGCCCUGAGUUAAUCCCGCUCAUGCGUCCCUGAUGGAACAGGCCCAGCCCAGACCGUGGAGGAGAAUUUCCAGGGUGGAUAUAUGGGUCCCUGUCCCAGAGGAUUCUGACCACAGGAUGUCGAGCUAAUCCCUUGUCAUUGCCGAGCCUGGGUUCCUCUGUCUUUCUUGGAUUAUUUUACUUUAUCUGGUGAGUUCUAGACUCAGUCUGUGAGGUGGGAUCUCCUUAUUCAGAUGGGGAAACUGAGGUUUAGCUGUGUCACUUGCUUAAGGAUGCGUCUGAGGUUACAGAGCAAGCAAGCACGUGCUAACU
Mustela erminea (ermine) is the source of this 882-nucleotide long non-coding RNA. RefSeq lists it as uncharacterized. NCBI's taxonomy places the organism in Eukaryota, Metazoa, Chordata, Mammalia, Carnivora, Mustelidae. The transcript has 3 exons. The record is from RefSeq and is a predicted model, not a curated record.